UGGGGAAUUUUGGACAAUGGGCGAAAGCCUGAUCCAGCAAUGCCGCGUGUGUGAAGAAGGCCUUCGGGUUGUAAAGCACUUUUGUCCGGAAAGAAAUCCUUGGCUCUAAUACAGUCGGGGGAUGACGGUACCGGAAGAAUAAGCACCGGCUAACUACGUGCCAGCAGCCGCGGUAAUACGUAGGGUGCAAGCGUUAAUCGGAAUUACUGGGCGUAAAGCGUGCGCAGGCGGUUUGCUAAGACCGAUGUGAAAUCCCCGGGCUCAACCUGGGAACUGCAUUGGUGACUGGCAGGCUAGAGUAUGGCAGAGGGAGGUAGAAUUCCACGUGUAGCAGUGAAAUGCGUAGAGAUGUGGAGGAAUACCGAUGGCGAAGGCAGCCCCCUGGGCCAAUACUGACGCUCAUGCACGAAAGCGUGGGGAGCAAACAGGAUUAGAUACCCUGGUAGUCCACGCCCUAAACGAUGUCAACUAGUUGUUGGGGACUUCAUUUCCUUAGUAACGUAGCUAACGCGUGAAGUUGACCGCCUGGGGAGUACGGUCGCAAGAUUAAAACAUAAAGGAAUUGACGGGGU
Molecule: ribosomal RNA, 572 nt
Filed under: uncultured bacterium
Lineage: Bacteria
Description: partial 16S ribosomal RNA
Rfam family: Bacterial small subunit ribosomal RNA
Source: RNAcentral